GUUCUUUGAACGCGCAAGCCAGUGAAUCGGCCAACGAAAUCCGACCAUCUCAACCAUGCCAAAAACCAACCAUUUAAUUGCGCUUCAUGGGCUACUGGAAGUAUGGUGAGAUUUGAUGUGAGAGGUGGACUCUGGAUAAGGGGACGGGUCAGCAGGAUUGUACCAUGUUAUGACAAGUGUCUGUAUGACAGUACCCUUUUAAUGAUUAUUGAUGGGUUGGCCCGAGCUCGGGCUAAGGUAAAUUCUUUGUCAUCUAGAUUGAGGUUGGUGCAUCACUAAUCAUUAUUAUAAGAUGCAUCCUAGUAUCGAUUAUUGCUGGAGGUCUUUGUCAUCUAGAUUUAGGUGGGUGCAUCACUGAUCAUUAUAAGAUGCAUUUCUAUAGAAGGUUGUGGUGAUCAUUUUAGGUUACAGGUUUAGUUUUUGUGGGAUGGGAAGUUUGAAAAAUGAGAACUACAAAAUUGCCUCUCCUUCAAACCUAAAGUUAGAUUAGUUUCCAGUGGCAUUUUAAUAGUUUAUUGUAAUAUAUUUGGUGAAUGCUAGUACAUGUUGACACGAGAGUACAUCUCCACACUUAUUUAGCAUUUUAGAAGGCUGUGAUAUAUAGCGACCCCUAUUACGUGGCCUUAUAAUAGAAACAUUGACAUAGGAAGAUUAAGCUUAAUAGAACUUAUUAACAAUGGACAUCAAUAAUUGCAGAUUAAGCUUAAAAGAACAACUGUGCAAAAGUUGACUUUAAGUUGAAAAACAAUGGUUGCAUACUUGGAGUUGGAGGGAGUAGGGACACUUAGCUGACCAAAUUUUGAAUCUUUGGCUAGCUCUAUUAUUUCACAUUAAAGCACACCGCGAAUGUUUCAAGUUUCAACUUUACAGGAAUGUUCUGGUGGAGAGAAAAGGGAUUGUGUUUGAACUUGGCUGUUAGUUUAGGAUCCGUAGGUGGUAAUGUAACAUAUUGUAUAUAAGUUAACUUGUAAAUAAAUAGAAACUUAAAAUUUUUGGCUAAAACAUGGCAUUUUCCUUUACAAGGCACCAACAGAUAUGCUAAAUAUUGUAAUCCUUUAUUUUAACCUUUCUGUAAUCCAAUUUAGUAUUUCAAUUCUUAUUUUUCCACAAGGUUGAGUGUUGCCUCGAUGUAAUUAGUUUCCGAGACUGUGACACUACCGACAAUCAUGCAUACACAUUAACUCACUAGAUGAUUUGGACAAGUGAAUCUUUUAUUACGUAAAUCUACACACAACAAGCUUCCUAGGACAUCAGUCCCAUGAUUUAUACAGUGGUUGGUGUAGGAAUAGGCAUUGGGUUUAGUUAUGUCUAUCCAACCCACUUUGAAUGAUUGUUAGUUGGGUACAACUGUAGUGACAUUUGUCAUCAUCUGGUGCAAUCCUGCCUGCCCAUCACUUCAUCCCGAGUCUUUUUUCUCAUUGAGAACUUCUUUGGAGCAGGGAGGGCCAUUCCGGCAAAAAAGGUGAUUUCAGAAAACUUAUUUUAUAUGUUUCCAGUCAUAUUUGUUGAAUUUGUAGUUGUUUGCUAACACCUACAACAAAUUCUUCCUUCUGUGAGGUUUUAGGUUUGCUCUACUUAAUUGAUAUAUCAUUUUCUUGUUUCACUGAACAUCACAACAAUAUUCUAGUUUAACUUGGUCUUGUCCUAAGACAACUAAAGGAAAAUUUUGAUAAAGCAAAAUCGUGAUCACCAGAUUCAUGGUUUAGUCCUUAUUAUUCUUCGUGGUCUUUACAUCUUUCACUCUUUGUGUUUAUGGCCAUGAUCUAUUCACCUAAGUUACAGCAUGCCUGUGGUUGUCUAUGGAUUUUUAAUGUAUAUUGUGUAAAUUUAACUGAUAGUGAAAAUAUCUACCACCAGUGCUAAUUAGAUUUUUUUUGUAGGGUUUUAUAGUUUCUUUAUAACUGUACAACAAGGUAACACUUUUACAAGCAAAUAAAAAUGUUUAAAACCAAAAACUUCCUUAGCUAUGGAGACAGAGGUAAAGACAUAGCCUGUAUUGAUUUUCAAUUGCAUACUGUUUUGUGUAAAGCAUGUGUCAUGCCUAAUUAAUCCCUGUUCUAGUUGUCUGAUUGUUUACCAUUUGUAAAGUAUUCUUGAAGAUUUGUUUUUAUCAAUAAUUUGAUUGAAAUAGUUAUUCGUUCAACGACCUGAAUACAUGCCACUAAAUCUCGAUUAUAGUUAUUGGGAUAACCAGGUCGUGAGGUUAAUUUUAUAACGUUUCAGUACCUUAAAUUUAUUUAUGAGAUGACAUUGGAUUAUUGGGUUAAUAGGCAAAAAGAUCACUGAACUCAUGGCCAAGUUGCAGUUGGGUCAUUGAACUCAAAAAAUUUGCAAACGGAUCACAGAACUAAAUUUAACUUGCAGUCAACUCACUGAACUAAUAAAUACUUGCAUUUAGGUCACUGUGCCGUUAAGUAUGAGUUGACUUUAACAGAAUCCGUUCAAAAAUAAUGAAAAAUUUGAAAAAAAUAUAAAAAUUCGAUUUUCUCAAAAAAUUCUGAAAACUUAAAAGAAUUUGAAAAUUUUGAAAAAACUUUAAAAAAUAUGGAAUGUUUUUAAAAAAUAUGAAAAAUGUAAAAACUUCGAAAAAAAUCUAAAAAUUUCGAAAAAAAAAUUAAAAAAUCGAAAAAAACUGGAAAUUCAAAAAAUAUACCUAAAAUUUUGAAGUUAAAAAAAAUUUCAGCCUUUUUCCCAAAUUUCUAGAUUUUUUCAAAGUUUUAAAAUUUUAAAAUAUAGAAUUUUUAUAUUUUUUCAAAUUUUUUUAACAGAUUCCGUUAAAGUCAACUGAUACUUAACGGCGCAGUGACCCAAAUGCAAAUUUUUAUUAGUUCAGUGAGUUGACUGCAAGUUAAAUCCUGUUCUGUGAUCCGUUUUCAAACUUUUUGAGUUUAGUGACCCAAUUGCAAGUUGGUCAUGAGUUUGGUGAUCUUUUUGCAUGAACUUCACAGGCUGGCCAGUUAGCUCUGUGUUUCUUUUAUUAUCGUGUUAAAAUAAAUUACAAUAUGAGCCAUUGAAAUCCUUGUUUCGCAUCAUUCUCUCUUUUAAAAUAAAGAUUUCUCACGAAACUUGAAGAUGCUAAAUUGAAUUCCAUGAGGAAUGUUAUCUUUGGAAGCAACAUGAAAAGACCAAGAUGUUUUUAUAUGGUUACAGUUCCCAGCAUCUUUAAAAACUCACUAUAUUACAGUGUGAUCAUAUCGGUUUUCUUGGUCACCUUCUCUGCCUCUUAUUAUAUGUUGAUACACUGAACUCUAAGAACUUCAACAACAUCUUUGCCACCUUGUGAUUUAUAAUCUUCUUGGUGUCUAUUAGGUCCUCUCCAUCUGUGCAGUUAAUCAACUAUGACAAUUAUAUUCUUGAGCUUGGCAUUAUUGUAUAAGAACCCUAUAUUUAUAGGAGAAACAAAGUUCGGUUUUGGGCUUUCAGCUACAACCUGAUGCUAGAUCUUUUCUUGCAUUGAUUUUCUUUACCAACAAGUAGUUCGAAAUUAACUCCUUUUUUUGCCUCCAAUUUUUCAGCCUCCUUGCCAUUUUCAUCUAGAAUCUUUUAAUUAUUUAUUCUCCAACAAAGUAAAAUAAAACAUAUAAUUAGUUAAUAAAAUUAAAAAAAACAAAAUCUAAAAUAGAUCUGAAAUAUACUGCCAUUUAAGUCAAUUUUUAUGUACACUCAAUUAACUAAAAUUGAUCUACUUUUAUGCCUUACAUGUCAAUCAUAGAUUCAGAAAACUUCCAUAGGGCCGAGAAAUAAUAUUACUACGAAGAGGUUAUUUCGUAAUGGUGGUUGACAUAUAAAUUUGUAAUUUUAAAUACUAGUUAAUAAAAUAGUUACUAUAUAUCUUAUAUACAAAAUUUAAAAAACAAUAUAAAAUUAUUUAUCUGUAAUAAAUACCUGAGUGUAAAAUAUAUUUAUAAGACUCAAGAAGCUUUAGUAAAUAUGGAUGUUCAAGUUAAAGAAAAACCGUUUUAACAGAAACAAUAAAGUCAUUGUAACAUAAAACUUUAAAAAGAAGAAACAAAUAUAGUUAGCCAUCUUAAAUUUUUAUGUAAUAUCUUGUGUAUUUUGAACAUAUAUCCAAAUAUUAAAAUGAAUUUAUUCUUAUACAGAGGGAAUUAUAUAAAAGAUAGACUUUGAAAAAAAGUAUUGAAAAUUACAAUGUGGAGGUUAUUCCUCGUUAUAACCGGUCUGGAGGUGGGACUGCAAUGGUUAAUUUUAUAUAGAGUAUUGAAAUAAAUAAAUAUAUAUAUAUAUAUAUGUGUGUGUGUGUGUGUGUGUAUGUAUGUAUGUAUGUAUGUAUGUAUGGAUGUAUGUAUAUAUUUGCGUGCAUAUAUAUAUAUAUAUAUGUUAUAUACUUGCAGUUCACUCUUAUUAUAUAUACAACUACUAUAAAUUACUCACUCCGUCUUAACUAAUUCUUGACACUUUCCUUUCCUACACUGUCCCUCUCAAUUCUUUACAUAUGAAAAUUUCUAAAAAUAAUAAAUUUUUAUAUGUAAACGUUAAUAUCACCCUACUUUCACCCCCUUUUUUGAAUCUAUUAAUUAAAUACAUGUUGAUUUAUAUUACCACUUUUCCACUUUCCUUGCCUUUUCCCAUUAUUUUAUACACUUUUCUUAACGGUAUGCCAAACCCAAACCCAAAUAUAAACAAAUGGGUGGGACGGAAGGAGUAAUAAGUAUUACAAAAAAUUUGAAUCAUCUAAUUUUUAAGAUAUUUAAUUGAACCAAAAGUAAAUGUGUUAUUGGGAUUGGGCCAUAGUUUAUGCAUGAUGUAAAAGUAGUGAUCUCUUGUUGAAAUUACAGUCUUAAUAUGCAAGCAUUGAGUGUGCCUCUCAAACAUAUAUAUUCUUCUACAAUCUUACAGUAAUCUAAUGCUUGGAGUGGAAACUGUGAUGGUUAUCGAAAGAGUGCUUUAAGUGCCGCUUCAGCAUGAAGCGAAGUGCGCCUAUUGGGCUUUGCUUUUCUGAAGAGCAGAGCAUAUACAAAAGCCCUCCUUUUUGUGUGCUUAAUGUUGAAGCACAAAAAAGCGAUAAAAAGGCGCUUUGCGUAAAUGGGUGUUUUUCUAGAUCUGGACAUAAUUGAAAAGGUCAGUCAAUGUUUUAUUUUUUAUGGCUAAUUUUAAAGCCAAGCACAUUAUACAUUCUAGACUUUUAGUCAAAAACAAACUCUGAAACACCUAGUCGCCUCAAUCAACCUCUACAAAUCCUCAACAAAGCACUAGUAACUCCCAACGACUACAAAUCUAUCACUGCUAAUUCAAUUUUAUGAGUUUUUUAUGUAAAUUUUAUGCUCAAUAAUAGGGUUACGGAUGAGUUGCGUGUUCUAGGGCUAUUUGGCGAUCCCCUUGAAUUUCUCCAUGAAAUCUUACCAUUGCGAAAAUUAGUAUAGUGGUAGAUGACAAUUUAAGGGCGGUCAAUGUACAGAGAGAGGUAUGAAAGCUUCUUAAUAUUCUAUAUUUCUUUUUAACUAUUUAGAGGGUAUGAUUUUUCAAAUAAUCAAUACUUUAUUUUUUGCUUUAUUGCAGAAGGAGAAUAGUUCAUACUUUGUUGCAUAUCGACAUAAACUUAGUGCCUUCUCUCUUAUAUUUCGAUUUUCUUCUUGUCACCACCCUUUACUAGCAUGUGCCUUUGCAAAAAUAAUGCAAGAUGAGGGAAAUCGUUGUAGUUGUAAAGAUGAAAAUCCAGUGUGACAGCUUAUAUGUAUGAUAAAUAGUGACAAUCAACAUGUGGUAUGUAAGUCCCUACUAUUUUUUAGAGUGAGAAUAAAUUUUAAGGGAAAUGAUUGAGCAACAUCUUGACCGUUCAUUCAAGAAAGUUAUCAUCUAACCAUCGGAGAUGCAAGAUGACCGGAGACAUUUAGACAAUAAAGCUUUUAUGUCCGAAAAGAAAAGGCCCAUCUUCUUCCAAGCAUCCUAAAAGAAUGAAUGAACGAAAGAAGUAAAAUAGAAGUCGAUAUAUAACAAAUUAUAUAUAUAUAUAUACACACACACACAUUAUAAAAUAAUUAAGGAUAUCAUAUUCAAUAAUAAAUAAAUAUUAAAUAUUAAAAGCGUGUGUGUAUAUCAUUUAUGAAGAGAAAGAAAAUAAAAUAAAGUCUAACCAAAGCAAGAUCUUUGGUUAGACAGUAAAGGAAAUAAGAUAAUAUAUAGAAAAUUUAAUUUAAAAAACCUCGAAUAAGCAAAGUGAAAACAUACGCCAUCAAUCAUAGCCACCCAUAAAUGGUACUAAAAUAGGCAUCAAUCAAAGCCACAAUUAACAUUCAAACUGAUUAAAAGAGAUUUAUGACAUUUUUAAAUAAUUUCAAAUUAUUUCCACUUAUACAAAAAGUGAUAACAUCAAUGUAAUAAAGAAGAGAUUCUAAUUAAAAAAAAACUAAAGAAUUUAUACCAAAUCCUUAAAAAUCUAAACAAGACAUUUAUUAAUAUAUUAAUAUAUUAAUAUAUAAUAUAACAAUUACUAAAAAAGAAGGAAAAUUUCAAAAUUCAAAAUAUUAAUAAUUAAUGAGUCAAUCACUAUCUAAGAACAUAUCACAUUAUACAAUUUACCUUUACUGCAAUUAAACUAAUUUAUCAAUUUAAAUGUAGACAAUUAAAAGAAACGAAAUAUUAAAUACAAUUCUAUAAAAUUGAAAACAUAAAUCAUGUCUAAAUUUUAGUCAAUAAUAUCACCACCGCAUACCGCCAGGGAACCACACCACUUACCGUUAUCACAUAUCUCGUAGUAUACAACAUAUUAACGUCUAAAACAAAAACCUAGCUCUAGGCACGGUCAUAUAUUAAAAGAUCAUUGUUACGCCAACAAAUAACAAAAUGCAAUGAGUUUAUUAAAGAAAAUAGUGAUAUUAAAAUUCCGCUGUAUAUAUCUAAAUUACAACGGAUCACAUAUAUAAACAAGUAGGAUUAUGAAUUAGAAAAAAUACACCUUAGUUUUUGUGGAGUAUAUUCACACAAAAUGAUUCUUCAUCGAAUUUGAUGUUUCAAUCGAAUAUUUUUUGUCCAUUACCUCGAUAUUUGACUAUUUCCUCAAUAUAGUUAGUCCGGGUGACGACACAAGUCAAUUACACUCAGAAAUAAGCUCACUAAUGGCCUGUUUGGAUAGGAGCAUUUCAUUUGAAAUGCUGAAUUUGAACCAAAUACCUUGUUUGGAUAAAUAAAAUAUUUGAAUUUGGAUUUGGCCCAAAUCUCAGCUAAUUAAAAUACAAGCCCAGUAUAGCAUUUGGAAAUAACUUUUUAUCUGGUGUCAUUUGAAAUAACAGAAAGCCCAUAGAAACCUCUCGAAAUCUCUCUCUCUCGCGAGUCUCUCUGCUCUCGCUGCUGGACUCUCGCUGCUGGGACUCUCGCGUCUCUCUGCUGGGACUCUCGCAUCUCUCUCGCGUGCUCUCGCUCUCCUCCUCCCUCUCGAUCCCCCAUCGCUCUCCUCGUCCAUUCUCGCUCUGAUUACUCUAAUGAGGUAUGUUUAACACUCAAUUGAUUCAAAACUUUCACACAGAUGAGAUCCUAUCAGCAAGUUUCUCAUUUUCGUUGGUUUUAUGUUGCAGUUCAAGGGGUAAUUCAGCUCAUUCAUCUCAUGGGUAAGAAUUCCGAACACUACUGUUUAUUAAUUUACAGAUGUUUAAUUCUGCUCUUGUUUUUGUAUAUAUUAGAAAUUCGUAACUUAAUAGUGAUUAUGUUGAUAAUUGUAUAUUUUUCCCCCAACUGAAUCACAGAAAUUUAAAUGUCUCGAAUGUUUCACAAAAGCGUUCAAGGGAGGAUGAGGAAAUGGAGUUUGUAAUGUUAGUUAUAGGUUUCAUUCACGUAGUAGUGGCAGCUUGUUACGGUAAGAAUCAUAGGUCGAAGGGGUUGACUUGGAAUAAUUAUGAUCGCUCUCAAAUUAGAGCUACUUGGAUGAAUACAUUAAAGAUUGAUAGAAUUUGUCGUGAACAAUUGCGUCUUGAUAUACGACGGUUCGAGAAGUUAUGUCAUCUUUUGGAAACUAAAGGCGGAUUAGUAACUACGAAACAUGUCACUGUGAAAGAAGUUGUCGCAUUGUUUCUUCACACUCUAGCACAUGAUUUGAAAAAUAGAACUAUACAAGCUGUGUUUGCACGUUCUGGAGAGACAGUGAGUCGACAAUUUCAUAUAGUACUUGGAUCAGUACUCAAGUUGGGGAAGGAUUACAUAAGAAAAGUAGACCAUGCCACUAGUUAUGUCCAUGAUAACCAAUGGAAGUGGUUUGAGGUAAUAUAAAAGCAAAUUCAAAUUCAAUUGCUAAUUAUGUAGUUAAAAUCAUAAGAAAUAUAUUAUGUAUGUAAUUAUUUCACCUGUAAGCCUGAUAAGGUUGAUAGUGUCUCAGCAUUUCACUAGUGAACCUACUUGGAUUGCUUACUGCUUUUUUAUGAAUUGGAUACCUGAUACAAGGCCUAUUUAAUGUUGCUCACGACAUAGUCUGAGCAUUUUGAGAAGCUUAACACCAAUAAGCUGACUGUAUUGUAUCUUUUUGUUUAAUUAUAUAUCUCUGCAGUCUGCACUGGUUUCAUAGUCAGUCGCAUCGUGAACUCUUGUUUUAAGGUAUAUUCGGCUUUAAUGGAUUUGCUCUUGCAGGUAUACAAUUGAUGAUAAAUGAACUCUUGUUACAUAUAUCAAGAGUUUGCACUGCAGAGAUAUCUCACGAAUCUUAUUUAUGUCUGUCCAGAUAGUUAUGCUUUGCUAUUUAAUUUGUGAAAAUCAGAGGCCAUGAAUGUUAACAAGUACUAGACUACUUUGUGAAGAAAUUUCUUUUUGUAUCUUUCUGAAAUAAAUGUGAUGAUACUGUAUGUUUAUGCUUUGCAAUUUUUGUUAAUUCUUGGAUCCCUGAGAUGUCUCUGCUUUUCUUUUCCAGGUCCCGAAGACAAGGAAAACAGCCUAUGGCUCCACCAGCUGAUCAGCCAACCGUACCUGCUCAGAAAAGGGGAUAUUUAGCAUGGACCCCUGAGAUGGACAGCAUAUUAACAUCAACACUGUAUGAUCAAAUUAAUGAAGGAAAUAAGGGUGACGGAAAUUUUAAAAGUCAAGCUUACCAGGCUGUGGUUGAUAAGCUGCGGAUUGAAAAGAGUAUGUUAGUUACUGUGGAACAUGUGAAGCACCGGAUUAAGAUUUGGAAGAAACAUUAUGGUGUGAUUUCUGAUAUUCGAAAUUAUACCAAAUUCAAUUGGGACGAAGAAAAGAAGAUGCUAGUAAUACCGAUAGAAGAUCUUGUAGAAUGGAAAGCUUAUUGUGAGGUAAAUUAAUUUUUCCCUAUUAAAUAUUUUUACAUCUGAUUUUAUGCUAGUAAUACUGAUUUUAUAUUGUAGAUAUAAAAGAGGGUUUUUUUAAUUCAAGUGUUUGCUAUUACAAUGCUAAUGCAAGACAGAUAGAGAAGAGAUAGUAUCGACUAUUACAGUACUUGGUUGUUUUUAUUAUGCAAAUUUUCACACCACUGGAGUCCUUGUACAAGGGUAAUAGAUAUGAAGGUAAAGCUUUGGUUUGUUUUUGCAUUAUAGUUCAACUCUGUAGGAGUAUACAACUAUUGUGAAUAAAUUUGCGGAUAGAUUUCUGUGUUGAUUACAUGUUUAUCAGUCUCAUAUGUGAAGAUGAUAAAUAAGUGUCCGGCAUAGGUUGUUUGAUUUUAUUUUCAGAGAACUCAGGAGCUUAUGAUAGUGGAGUAUGUGUUCUCAAGGCCCUAGAACCUAGUUUACCCUGCAGAGAGAACUCAGGAGCUUAUGAUAGUGGAGUAUGUGUUCUUAUGAUAAAUUUUGUCAUUUUAGGAGAGGCACUUUGAUUGGAAUCAUGUGUUUACGAAAAAUUCAUGGAUCAUUAGCUUGUGUUUGACAUAAACUAAAGCUCAAUCGUAGAUCGUAGUGUACACUUUAUCUUUAUACAAGUUCUUGUGCAAGCUGUAGCAUGAUGCUGCUUGCAUACUCGAGCAUAUUGGUCGAUAUGUUACAAAUCUACAAUCUGAACUAGGAUUUUGAUAAGAAGACGUUGAUCGUGCUUUCCUGGUAUAAAAGUGAAUGAUCAGGAUCAACUAAUUUUGACUUUUUAAGAAAAGCUCUUAUCUCCUGCAGUACUGCUCAAGGUCAUGACUCCAAAUUUUUUUACUUGCUAGGUGUCUCAAGAUUUUAAAGAAAUGAUUUGCUUGACUUUUCAAAUUGAUCAGGACUGUUAUAACAUAAUCUGGUCUUGUUCUGAUCGACUCGUUUGUAAGUUGAUUGAUUGAAUUCAAAUUUUACAGAACAAGAAUAAACCAAUUUCCUUCUUAUAUUGAUGCAAUUUGCUUUUUAUAUGAUAGAACUUGAGUGAACUCCUUGAUUGUGACUGCUAGCAAACCAUACACUUGCUACCCAUAUGCAGUAGAAGUAUUACUUGUACAUGUUCCGUGUAACGCGCAGAAAUGAAACAGAUAUCGCCAAAUGCAACUUCUUACAUAAUUUUAGGAGAGGCAUACUAUGUGUUUACAAUGAUUUCAUGGAGCAUUAGCUUAAAUUUAGCAUGAACUAAGCACAAUAGUACAACUGAGCAUUCACUAUUCCUCUUUGUUUGAGUUUUUAUGCAAGCUGUGACAUGAUAUCCGCAUACUUGCAUGUCAUUCAGUAUGUUGCAUCCAAUAGAAUUAUGUGAUCUUACUUAAAAGCUUGUCGUGAAUUGAAUCUACGACACAAGUUGCAGUUAAUAGAAGUGCUCCCAAAUUCAAGCGGCUGUGCAUACUCUGGCUGCAUUCUUAGUACAUGAACCAGAAGCUGCUGCAUAAUUUACCCUGCAGAGAGAACAGAUACUUAGCUUUUUCCAAACAUACAAGCUAGUAAAAUCAGUCCCAACAGUGGACCAGAAACAACUGUUUUCAAAACAAGACUGAUAAUCCCUGGAUCAUAAAACAGAGUGUUCUGAACAUAAACUUGCACUCCAAGCAGUAUGCUAGUGUAGUAUUGUUUCCCAGAACUUGUCUUUCUUUUGGUGUAUAUCAGUGUUAAAAAUCUAAUAUAGAUCAACUCUGAACUUGGACAGGGAUGUCCAGAUGCUUCUGCAUACCAGAACAAGUGCAUUCAGAAUUGGGAUGACAUAUGUACUUUAUUUGCCUCCGAUAGAGCCACUGGUGAUGGUGCAGAGCAGUUUGAGGAGUCAGCUACUGCCAUGGAGCUAGAAAAUGACAUUAGCACUGCUGAGACGGGUUCGGGAGAAUCAAACAAGAGACAGAAAAGAGAUCGUUUAGCUGAUGCUGUUACCAGUUUCGCAGAGUCAUUUAAAGAAUAUGUGAGCAAAGCAAAAGAGCCUCCAAGACCCACGUGCAAAGAAAUAUAUGAGGUCGUAUCUGAAGUUAUUGGUAUUACGGAUGAUCAAGCUAUGAGGGCUGUCAAGAGAUUCGUGAAUGGCAAAGUUGAUGAGUUUGAAAUGCUUAAAAAUUUGCCGGAUAAUGAGAAAAAGCGAAGCUGGAUCAUGUUGCUUAUUAGUGACUCAUAGUAUUUAGGCGUAUUUUUAAAAUUGUGUAAAAGACUAUUUCAUUGAAUAGUACUAAUUUGAUGUAUUUUUAAUUUGAAUUUUCAAAUGAAAUUCUAGUAAUUCCCAAACACCAUUGGAAUUUGAAAUUCAGGAUUUGAAAUUCUUGUACUUACCAAACAGGAUAUUUGAAUUUGAAAUUCUGGAUUUGAAAUCUAGGAAUUAAAAUUCAUUAUUUGAAAUGAAAUAUAUGAAUCCAAACGGCCCCUAAAUGAAUUUCCAAAAGUUGAUCUGUAAUUAUGUUAAUUUAUGGAUCAUAGGCUUCAUAAAAGAUCCAUGAGUCCAUAAGCAUUAUCCAAAGGCCUCAAACAUUGUGAUGCCAAUCCAGCCCACAUUGAAAGAUUAAUAUCGGGGCAAAGUUGGAUGGACAUGUGUCAUCAUAUGAUACGAUCCCAACCCGUCACCUCCACCCCUCUAUAUAUUUUACCUAUUGCUUUCCUACGGGCUACGGUCCAUUCUCUUUACAUAAAAUUUUAAAGGGCGCCUCCGGUGGGUCAUUUGUGGCGAACAAGAUCGACCCUACUAGUUGUUUCGGUGAGUUCCGUCACUCUCAGAUCUCCAACAAGUAAUUUUUUUCUCUAUAUGGAAUGUAGCUUUUUUUUUAUAAUUGAGUUAUAUAUUACUUAUUUCGCUAGAUAUGACAACAAGAUGUCAAUUUAAUUUGUUUAUUCGGAAAACCGCAGGAAGGAAUUCAUAAUCGAAAAUCAUAUGGUCAUCAUCUUGAUUUAACAAUUACUCCCUCCGUCCCCCUCAUUUGUUUACAUUGGGGGACGGGGGCUUGGCACGCAUUCUAAUGCUAUCGUAAAAUGUAGUUGGUAAAUUAUUUCGAACUUUUAUCUUUUCUGAAUAAAAUUUGAUGUUUAAACUUUUAUACAAAAAAGAAAUUUUUAAUUUUUUUUUAAUAAAAUUAUGUUUUAUAUGCGCCUUAAAAUGCGUGUCGAUCAGUGUAAAAAAACUGUAAAGAAAUGAGGAGGACAGAGGGAGUAAUAUUUAGUAACAGUUUGUGUAUUGUCUUAACUCGUAAGAUUAAUAAUUACGUUUGCAAGCCUGCUAGUUAAUUUGGUACUUCUAUAUUAUUGAUUUUAUAUUUUCUGUUUGUGUUAUUCUACAAUUGUCAAGUCUCUAUGGUUUUCUUUACCCAAAAACUUCACAGUGUUUACUGCUGAUUGUUAAAUAUAACGCAGUGCUUUUCUAUUGUGAAAAUAUAUUUGUAUUUUAUAAGCAAUUGAACACCAGUUGUAGAGAUAUUUCGGGAAGUAACAUAACUUUGAUAUUCUGAUGUACAAGUCCUAGUCUAUAGAAUCUAUAAACCAUAAGUAUAUAAAUCUACUAAUGCAUCUAUUACAGUUGUAGAGAUAUUUCGGGAAGUAACAUAACUUUGUAUUUUUUUUGUACAAACAUGUAUUAUUUUUGUUGUAUAUAUGUAUAUAGAUUAUUCUUUUUUACCCGCAAAAAAGGAAACAUACUUGUAGCUAGCUCCGCAUGAUUGAAAGGGUUAUCAGCUUUUUGGUUUUAGAUCAUUUCAUUUCUCCGUCUAUCUCGUAUGCUCUUUUGGGUUUUCAAACAGAAAUUUUUCUGGAUUUUAAACAUUACAUUUCAACCAAAGGAUGAGGGGCCCCUAUUAUGCCUUUCAUGUCGUCUCGUGUUAAACCUUAAGGAAGCGCGUCCUUACAGUUGAGAAUAAGGGAGAUACGUAAUGUGAACAUCUUACUGUCCGCAGACCCAGUUUUCAUGUGUGAUAUAUUGUGGUUUUCUGGCUUAUAUUGCAUUUUCUAUGUAUUUGUGUCAAUAUUCUUUGCUGUCGUGAGUUAAAAAAUUUAUGUUAAUUUUAUGUUUGUGAUGCUAGUGAAAGUAAGUAGGGUAGGCAAAAAAAUUGUUUCCAUGCUGUCAAAAUAUGGGAUUAGUUGAUUUAUCUGGAAGAUCAAAAAAAAUUAUAGCAGUUGCGAUUUAUUUUAAAUCUUUUAACAGAUGUUCUAGACUUCGUUUCCUCAAAACUAUCCUUUAAUUUUACUUGAAAUAUUUCUACAAACUGUUAACAGGAACAGUACUUGUCUAAAAGCAGCACUAGGGAGCCUCAAGUUAUUUCCAGUCAGGCUUAAGAGCUUUGGAAGUAUCCCAGCGGGAUGGAAGUGGAUUGGAGACCUAACCUUGGUGGGAUGGAAAAGGCAUUUAGCAUGAAUGUGAUGAUGCUGAUUGUUAAAUAUUUUGCGGGAUUCUCGAUAACACACUGGUAACUUUUCUUUAAAUCUGCUCUAUAUUAGUCUUGUGAUCUGUAUCUUUAAGUUUUUAAGUCCUUGAUAUGAGGCAUCAAAUCUUUACUUAUCAUUAGUAGCAAUCGCAAGUUUGGGAGACUGAAGUCACUGAACCUGUGUUAAUUGUUAUUAUACCAAGGCUAAAUGUCCCAAGAAGUCCAUGUAUGCAGCAAAGCAAAGCAUAAGCAUUCCUUUGGAAAAUAAAAGGUUUAAUUCCAAGUUAAAAAUAUAUUAUACUAAACAUGGAUUUUCCUCCAAGUCAAAACUCACAUAGAUUUAAUGUUCUUUACCUUUUACUUUCUGUUUUGAAUAGUUGCCUAUUCAAAUCUUAUGAACAACAAGUCUAUGCAUUUGAAUUAGCUUCCAGCACACUUUAUUAUCUCCUUAUUAUAAGCUGCAGAACUUUUGAAGCGCAGAUAGUGUGUUAUAAGUUUGGGACAUUGUAUACUGUCUUUUUACUUAAUUCUGUUAUCUAUUUUAUAGUUAACUAUGAUUAGGCUUUUGCAUCUACUUGUAAAACCAAAACAAUCCUACUUUUGGUUCUCCUCUAAUUUUUGUCUUAUAUUCGUAAAAAUCUUGUAAUGGAUGACUCUAACCUGAAGAAGAUCUUUAAAAGUAAUGAAUUCCAUUAAUGACAAAGUACUCUGUUUUUCUAUAGAGAAAAAGUCUGAACUUUACAAAGAUAAAAAAAAUAUAUGAAUGGGCAUGUUCAAUUUCGCUUUGUAAUGAGUUCUGCAUUUCCCUAUUUCUGUAAAGGAGUCCUGCACCAGCUACAAAACAAAAAAGAAAACGAAAAGAGAUCUGCAGCAGAUCAAGUGACGGAGUUUGCGGAGCAUGGGAUAGUCUUCCUGAUGAACUGCUCCUUUCAGUUCUAAUGAAAUUGAAUAUUAUCGACUACCUUGCCUUCAGUGGUGUGUGUAGAUCCUGGAGGUCAGUGUCUACCGAUAUUCGCAAAAGUUUUAUGGAGCGUCUGCAACCCUUAGUUCUAGCAAGACCAAGAUAUUCAAAAAAAGCUUGUGUGCUAUAUAAUAUUUUUGACAGGAAAAGUUGCAAGUCAAUGCUUCCAAAUAUGCCUCGCAAAAGCUUAUGGGGUUUAGCAAGUGGUUACUUGAUCACAUAUGACAGGAACAUGGGGUUUUGGCUUGUGAACUUAAUGACAAGACAUGAGAUGCACUAUCCUGUCCUGUCAGAAAGCAGCUAUAGCAUCUUUGACUUCACUCCUCGUGCUGUCCUCUUGCGGUUGACUCGGCUUUCAAGAAUUUUCAUGAUUAUUUUCUCUGAGAAGCAUAAUUUUUUACUGAUGUCUGAAAGUGGCUCUAGUAGUUGGCAGGAAUAUCUUUUCCCAAACACCAGUGCUGGAAUUGCAGAUGUAAAGAUUUGGAAUGGCAAAAUCUUUGUUCUAACCUGUGAUGCACAUUUUGGAGAAUUUAAUCCGAGGGCAGAUCCUGUUCUGAAGCUCUACAACCGUAACAUCCCUAUUCAGCUUUCAUCACGUUCGAUGUUGCAGUUAGUGACUUCAGACAACAAGAUCUACAUGGUUAUAUCUCAUCAUCCUUGUCCACGUGUAACUAUGUUGGUCCUAUAUCUUUCCUUGUACGAACUUGACUACAGUAUGGAAUCUGCAAAACAGAUUAAUGACUUGGGUUCAAAAUCUUUGUUCCUGAGUCCAUAUAAUUCUGCCCUGGUUGACACAACUGGUUGGGGAGCGGGCAACUGUGUAUGUGUUCUUCAAAAUACAAUGGGAAAAUGUUCAUUCUCUCACUUGGGUGGACACUGGCUAGAAACGAUUCCUGCUGUUUGGGAUUAUAAUGUGAGACUAUAUUUCUGGGUUUUUCCUGGUGAAAGUUGGGACAUCAGUUGUGUUGGUGAUGAAUUUGGCACUUGAUCAUUUCCACUUCUGAAAUCUGUUUUCCCGGCCAAAUCUUCGGUUGUAGUUUCAUAUUACAUUCAGAAUAUUUGUAUUCUUUCAGUUUCAUGGAUCCUUUCAUUCAGACUAUAAAGUUAUGAUAUGAUGUGAAUUUUAUAUUAUGCAAGCAAAGCUUUCAUAGCUUUUAAACUUAUUAUUUAAGAGAAGGGAAAAUUAAUUUUAAAGUCCCUGAACUAUAGGUACUUUUUUUUCUAGGUCCCUGAAUUAUAAAUGUCAAUUCACAAGUAAUUCAACUCUUGAUUUUUUCUUGCCUGGGUCCUUCUGUUAAUCUGGUUUGACGUUGUUAGUUUUUCCGGCGAAAUUGGUCGGAAAAGCUCAAAUCAGGUGAGCUCGAAUUUUCCGACGAGGCUAAUAUGAACAUUAAAAAUCACAAAAAUUAUAUGAACAUGCUCAUAAUCACACGAUCUAUCAAUCCACAUCAUUAUAAUUCGAAUAAAAGCUAUCAAAAUGAAAACUAAUAUUCAACUCAAAAUUCGGAAAUUACCAAACUAAAUUUUGAUGGUAUAGAUGGAUAGAGGAUUGAAAAACGAGCAAUUUGAUUACUAAAGCUUCAAAUUUAGAUACCGGAAUCACCUUCAAAAUUAUCUUUGAUUCUCAUGAACUUAAGAAGAACUAACGACGUCAAACCAGAUCUAACGGAAGGACCCAGGUAGGAAAAAAUAAAGAGUUGAAUUACUUAUGAAUUGACAUUUAUAGUUCAGGGACCCAGAAAAAAAAGUGCCUAUAGUUCAAGGACUUUAGAAUUAAUUUUCCCUUAAGAGAAUUGACAUUAUAGUAUAAACAUCUAUUAUUUUUUGUCCUUGUGUACACUUACAAAUAUUAUAAUAUUUUCUAUAUUUUGUUUUCUAUACAGGUUAUGUUUACCGGGGAGAAGUGAGGGGCGUAUAGGUGGUGCCUCUCAAACAGCUCCGUUUUAUUUUUAUAAUUUUUGGAAUUUUUGAAUUAUAAAUAUAAAAAAAUAAGUUACCGAUUUUUAAAUUUUGAAUAUAUUGAUAGGAAAGUUAAAAACUGUCUUUUUCAGUAUUGGAAGAAAAUGUCAAAACUAUCUUUUUUGGUUUUAAUAUUAUUGAAAAGCAGUUUCAAUUUGUAAAAUUGGUAAGUUCUAUUUUUCUAGUUUUUUAAAAUCUUUGAAAUCUAUAUAAUCGAAAAAAAGUUUUAAACUAUAACAUUUGGUUUUUAGAGAUUUUUGGGAAGGACUAUAUAUUUUAAAAGAAGGAUUCAUUGAUGAUAUAUUUUUGCGUUUGUUCAAUUUCGAUUAUAUAUAUGGAUGCCGUUUGUCUUUUUAUUAUUGAAUUAUUUUCCUAUUUCAAAAAAACAAAAGAGUAUGUUGAUGAUGAUUAAUUAUAUAAGUAUAUUGACGAUUGAUUGACGAUAGUGAUGAUAAUUAUUUCCUUUAUCCCUCUGAUUUCUCAACAUUUGUUUUAAGUAUUUGAUAAGCAUUUUAAGGUACAUAUAAAAUAUAGGUUUGAUUUUUUUAAAAAAAUCUUCUCGUUCGGUAUUAAAAUUUCGUUAAAUUUUAUUCAAAAGAAAAGAAUUUUAUAAAAAUUAUCAAACUAAAUAUUUUUAUGAGAGUUUUAAAAUGUGUGUCAAGCCCCAUUCUCCGAAACCUAGAAAUUGAUCAUUGAUCCAAUUUGAGACCUCUGCAUGAUAGACCUCAACAGAAAAUUGAGGCGGACAGAGGUGGGAGUAGUUGAUAAUUUAUCACCAAAAUUGCUUGAAGAAAUUCAAAUCGAUUUUAAAAUUUAUUUAUCUUUUCAUUGACAUUCCUUAUAGCUUAUAAGUUAUAACUAGCGUAAAAGCCCGUGCAAUGCACGGGCCUUCAACUUAAUCAUAUUUUAAACAAAUUAUUUAUUUAUUUAUAAUAAACUUGAAUUAUAAUUUAAUUAGUUUUCUUAUUUUUAAAUUGUACUUUUUUAACCCAUGUAUUCUAAUUGAUUCAUAAUUCAAACUUGAUCAAUAUUAAAUAGUUAAAAUGCUUAACCCAUGUAUAUAUCACUCUUCUCGAUCACUAACUACACUUCUAAAUUAACGACUUUAUUAGUAUACCACUUCUAACUGUUUUUGAUGUCUAAUAAUCACUUGUUUUUAUAUAUACCUCAUUCCGACUUAUCUUUGUAAUCAAACUCUAAGUAUAUAUCUCACAUAGCCUCCCUGAUCUCUGGUUAGACAUCACCUUCAGGGACCCAACCUAAGAAAUCGUUUAAAAAUCUUGUGAAUGCAGGUCUCUGCAAGAUUUGUAAUAUGUUAAUGGACAGCCACAUCAUGCUAUCUGCAACAAAACAUAAUCAAAUACAUUACAGAAAUAAUAAUAAGUUUACAGAAACUUAAAACAUUGCAUAAAAUUGUUUUGAGAUUACAAGUAUUGCUAUAUAUAUUGGUAUUAGUAAAAAUAGCAUUUAUAUAUAAGUCUCACAUCGGCCUCCAGCUCCAGACCUCUUCACCGCAGCGUGUUUCAUUAACCUGCAGCACCAGCAAAAUAUUAAACAUCUUUUAUUAAACGAACAGGCCUUGCAGUAUGUUUGUCUAGAGAGUGAGAGAGGAUAUUUGACAUUCUCAACGCUUUGCUGGUAUUAGGACUAUCACCAAGAAACUGACAAAUACUAAUUUCAGAAAUACCAGCAUGAUGAGCCAAUAUAUUCAUGAUGGAAUCAGCACGUCUGUGCAGGUGAGGAGUACUCUGCCUUGUUUUUUGCUGUAGUCUUGCAGGUCUGUGCUGGUGGUACUUGACAAACACGACGAUGCCUCACUCUUUGUCUCAGAUCCCCAUGAAACUGUAGCCAACUUUCCUCAACUUGCUGCUUGGCAAUCAGAAAUUUGAAGAUUCUUAAACAGUUUCUUUCUCACAACCUGCAACCUAGAAUCCAUUAACAUGCCAUUUUGAAAAAUCAACGUAUCUCUAGUCUUAUCUACAAUCGAACAAAGACAGAUAGAUUUUUUGCAGAAUAUACUUAAAGGUCAUCAUGUAAUUGAUUUUCACUAAGUAGGUUGAAAACUUGAAAUUCAGAUGUAAUACGUUUAAAAUUAGAAUAAGUACGAGUCAAUGUCUAGCAAAUAACCUGUAGAUUAGAGUACAUAGAGAAGAUAUUUAAAUUGGAAAACGGCUCUAGUAUUUGUCAAUGAAAAAGGAUUUUCAUAUGAUAUUGCAGAGUAAGAAUAAUAAAGCUAGAAUUUAUGUUGCUGAAGCAAAAAUCCCGGAGCAUGUCGUGGCAAUCACUGCUACAGUUUUCUAACAGAAAUCGUGCUUAUAAUCUAAACUAAACAUAUUCAAAUGACAAUUCCCUGAAAGUAUAAAACUUAAAAACUAACAUAAGCAACUAUCUGAUGAUCACAACUCAAAGCAAUUUAAGAAAACAGAACACUAUCCAAGUCCUUUAAUUUUAAAAGCUUCAACUCCAGAUCAAUAUAUAUGUACAGAGUACUGUUGUUCCAAGCACAUACACAAAAAAAAAAAAUCUAAGCAAAUUAAAAAUAAAUAAUCUAUCUGCAAUCCAAACAAACAGGAUCAAAUACGACUCUAAACUCUCAAAAUUUUAUUUAGAUGAAUGAUCAAGCAGAACACAAUCCGAGAUUCGCAACUUCAUCCCAAAUUCAAAUAACGAAGUAUACAUAAUACGUGGAUCUGAGCAAAUCAGGCAAAAAUAUUAGCUAAAACUAAUCAAAAGCAUAUCAAAUCAUCCGUAAUUUAAGCUCGCCAACAUAGGGCUGGCAAAAAACUUUAUUGCAAAUCAUUAAACACUGGACAUGUGAAUAUGCGCAAACAUGUGCCAUGUUUAGUUUAGAAGUUUAAGGUUACACCAGUUAAUUGAGUUGUAUAAAAACAGUUCCACAUUUAAUAAGAUCAUGCGGCUCAACCAAAUCAACAUACCAAAGAAGAACAUCUGCACCAUGAGAAUCUUUAAAAGUGACAUAUGCAACUUGAGAACGCUCGGUAUCACUAAUAAGUUAAAAAAGAAUUAGAGAUUUAGUUCGUUCGAAAAACCAUACACUGUAGCAAAUAAAUAACCUUCGUAAAUCAACAUAUUCAAGAUCACCAGAGAAUGAAAAGAACUACUUGAUGUCGUGCUCGGAAGCACUCAAGGAGACAUUGUUGACAGAUACUAUUUUUACCUGACGCACAUCCUAAAAGAGAACUGAGCAAACAAAUAUAUCCAGGACAUGACAAAAUUAAAAAUCAGCGGCCAUAUCGUCUUAUUUAUAUAAAUUAUACAAGUCAUGUACAGAGAUAUUCUAAAACGGAAAGACAUGUCUAGAGUCUAGAGUGCUCCAAUUAAUAGGUGGCAAAGCCCACAAAUUCUUUCGUGGAAUCAAGUAUCCUGCAAAAUGAAAUUUCUAACCGUGUAUACUUUGAAAAAUGAAACUUAAUUUCAUUUUAAAAAAAUAUGAAACUUGGCAAAUGAAAAGCCAGUCGAUAACCGUGAAUAUUAUUUUAGACAAUUGCAAACCGUUCCGUUGAUAUCAAGGCUUUGCUUGGACUUCCCGCAGGUCUUACACAGAUAGUUUAAUCUUGAUAAAUUUAUGCAAGGCCGUCACAGGCUGACGUCUUGUUCCUAUGGAAAAAAUCUGGCUCAUGAAACUCUAAUACUCUCACCCUUUUUAAGUAGUUUGAUGUUAAUGCUGUAAUGAGUGGUUCGAUCUUAUAAGAAUAAAAAACACACAUUUAAGCUGCUUUGGGACGCACAUUAUAUUUAGUUUACAACACAAUGUGUCGUGAACCCAGCAAAAACCUGCACAGAUUUUAUAAUAUCUGUUUGCACUUUUAUUUUAAGGUGUUUGCAUGUAUCUAUAGUGUCCCAUACACAAAGCUCUGGAAUAGCAAUGGUAUUGAACAUGUUCAUAACAUUUAGUCUCUGAAAUCCCAAAAGUUUUGUAAUUUACAUGUAUAUCUUUCUCUUAUGUUCUGCUAUGUAUGGCAACUUUGUAACUCUAGUUGGGAUAUUAAAAAAACAAUAUAUGCUUAUCACUUUCUCCUGUUAUCACAACACAGAAAAGAAGUAAGAAGUAAGAAGCAGAGGGAACUUGCCUCAUCGAUUACGAGAACCCUUAUAGAUUCUAACUUUAAAAUAUUCUUAUUUAACAUCUGCCUCAAGCUCCUCAUUGUUGCAACCACUAUAGUAGGAGGCUCCGCCUGUUUCCCACUAAAUAGGUCAGCAACAUGCUAAAAGUAUAGAAAAGAACGCAUUAAAGGUAUACGUCAUCUUCCUUUUAUGUCUAAUAAGAUCAUCAUCGUCCAUAUAAGCAAACAUAUCUACAGUCACAGUGAUAGAUUAUCAUAAAAAGGUAUAUAACACUAAUAUCGCCUAAAGUGUCUGCUUUUAUAAAUGUGUUGACAGGAGACAACUGAUAACAAAUGCUCUGUGCAUCUUCAGAAAGAAAAAUAUAAAGGAGGUGAUAUAAGCCUUUAAGGGAUAUGUUUCUACAAAUUUCAUUCCUAGUUCGGGUGUUUGAUCGCCUAAUGGUGACAGUGAUUACUCAUCUGCUCAUUUCAAAAUUAAAAAUGUUACCUUGAAUCAACUCUUGUGCCUUCUCAAAAUUCCUCCGUCAAGAAGAGCCAUAACUGUGCAAGGUUUCUCCUCAGUUCCAGGCUUCCCACUUUUUGCAGCAAGAGUAUGAGCAACUUUUGUAACCUUACUUGACAAGAUAGUUCAUCAAGAGAUAAGAAUUUUGGUCCGAACAAUGGUUAUAUCUCAUAAACAUUAAUAUUCAAAACAAACAAAAAUAUAUAUAUACCCGCAUGCCAAGCUCCCUGGUGGGCACAAUAAUCAGUGCUUGCACAGUUGACCUCCAAGUGCUUAAAACUGAGAAUAUCAAUAUUAGAUAGGCGAGGGUCUUCCGUGAACUUGUCUAGUGACCCAAAUAAAGCAAAACAAAACAUUCAUUAAAACUCCAUCAGCAAUUCACCACACUUCAAAACAAAUGAGUUACGCCUACGCAUAAAACAUAAGAGAAAUUGCAAAAUUACACUAUUGCAUCUUUUGCGUACAAUGUUUAUUGUUCAGGUGAGUUUAUAUAAAGGCCUCACAUUAUUCAAGCAUAAAGUUGUACAAAAAUUCAAUCUGUUUCCGUCUCUCAGCUACUCACCACAAUAAUCUGCCUCUGCAUCUACCAUUGAUCCAACUCGUUUAUCUCCACCUUGUCCAGAGACUACUGACCCAAUGAUUGAUCGCCACUGACGAAUGGUUCAUGAACCAUAUUUUGCAUAUUGAAUGUAAGGAGAAGAGGAACAAAUUGCCAUUAGGCUUCCACCAUUUAAGGACUUGAGUCUGAAGUUUUUUCGAGAAACCAUCCGCUGUGGUGAAGAAAAUAUGCAGCGUAAACUCAGUUAAUAUACAAACAAAAAAUGAAUCCCUAUAAGAAAAAAUAGGUUAGUAUAACAAGCCAGGCACCUGGAGUUGAAUUGUGGAUGGAGGAGACGCAGAAUCGCUAGUAGAACGAAGAAUGGCGGCGACACAAAAGCUGCCGGCGGUGCUGGUCUGUUCACAUGUAUUGUUGAAGGAUAGUAAGCUGAUUCAUGGUGCCGCUCAUAUGCCUCAUUGUAAUGUCCAAAUAAAGUAUCAGGUAUAUACAUGUAUAUCAUGCUAAUGCUUGUUUGAUAAAAUUCCUAAACCAAUAGCUGCAAAUAUACAUGGAGAAACUGCUGCAGAUGAAAGAAGAAAAUGAAAAGUCGAUGGCAUUAUAGAAAUUGUGUAUAAGUCAAGGGUAUGUAUGUCAUUUCACAGACAUUUUAUUUACUCUUUUCGCCCCUCAUCCUCUUUUAAUAUAUAGAAGUAGACUAGUUUAGUUCGAUAAUAAUUUUGCAUAUUAAAAAUCGAGGGCUCGCCUCCCUAAUAAAAUACGGAAACUAACGUCUCGGUUCCUAUAUUCACUAGUGUGUGUAUGGGGUUCUCAAAUCGCAGGAGGAGAAGAUGAAAGUUUGGGUCCUUGCCAUGGCGUCGUUUUUUAAUCGGUAACUUCUUUCUCCGUUUUAUAUUUGAGUUGUUUAAUUUUGUUUCCCUUUUCUAUGCAAAUAUAUGUAUAAAUAUCGAUGUUUGUUUGAUUAAGAGUGGUCCAUCAGGUGUUAGAUGGACUAGGCAACCACAAAGCACAUAACCAACUCUGUUCUCUGAACGCGCAAGCCGAACAUCUCAACCAUGCCAAAAUCCAACCAUUUAAUUGCGCUUCAUGGGCUACUGGAAGUAUGGUGAGAUUUGACGAGAGAGGUGGACUCUGGAUAAGGGGACGGGUCAGCAGGAUUGUACCAUGUUAUGACACGUGUCUGUAUGAGAGUACCCUAUUAAUGAUUAUUGAUGGGUUGGCCCGAGAGCUCGGGCUAAGGUAAGGUCUUUGCCAUCUAGAUUGAGGUGGGUGCAUCACUAAUCAUUAUUAUAAGAUGCAUCCUAGUGUCGAUUAUUGCUGGUGGCCCGAGAUUGCUCGGGCUAAGGUCUUUGCCAUCUAGAUUUAGGUGGGUGCAUCACUAAUCAUUAUAAGAUGCAUUUCUAUAGAAGGUUGUGGUGAUCAUUUUAGGUUACAGACUUAGUUUUUGUGGGAUGGGAAGUUUGAGAACUGAGAACUACAAAAUUGCCUCUCCUUCAAACCUAAAGUUAGAUUAGUUUCCAGUGGCAUUUUAAAUAGUUUAUUGUAAUAUGUUUGGUGAAUGCUAGUACAUGUUGACACGAGACUACAUCUCCACACUUAUUUAGCAUUUUAGAAGGCUGUGAUAUAUAGUGAUCACUAUUACGUGUCCAUAAAUUAGGAACAUUGACAUAGGAAGAUUAAGCUUAAUAGAACUUAUUAAC
Molecule: long non-coding RNA, 23429 nt
Filed under: Daucus carota (carrot)
Lineage: Eukaryota; Viridiplantae; Streptophyta; Magnoliopsida; Apiales; Apiaceae
Description: long non-coding RNA (DCAR_LNC001246)
Source: RNAcentral